Molecule: long non-coding RNA, 834 nt
Filed under: Coccomyxa subellipsoidea
Lineage: Eukaryota; Viridiplantae; Chlorophyta; Trebouxiophyceae; Coccomyxaceae
Description: long non-coding RNA (CSUB_LNC000520)
Source: RNAcentral
UCUGCCUUGUGCCCAAGCAUUCUAUCUGCCCAUUGUCGCAUUUCUGCGGCUGUUGCAUUUUCUGGGAGGCUGUUGCCCUGGUCCGAUGCGUCUGCAUGACAGGUAUGUUGCCAAUCAUAUUCCAUUGUCCAUGGCACGCCAUAGGUUAGGCUUCCAUACAUAUAUUAAUUGCAAGAGAAUUGGCUAUGUACAGCGGUGCGGGCACCACAGGCAUAUAAAGGAUAAGCAAGCCCUUACCCGGGGUGCCAGAAGUUCCAGGCCUCCCAUCAUCAGCAUCUUUUGAAGCAGAUGUGCUGGAAAUGCUGCGCAGACUCAACAAUCCAUAUGCAUGGUUAUUGCGUGUGCACUGCUGCAGCAGAUCGGCAACCUUGCUCUUUCCAGCAGUGCGUUGGGCAGCAGCUGCACCUUGCCUGAGUAUGAUCGGUAGAGAAUUCAUUUGUGUAGGAUCAAUCAGACCUUCAUAGGUAUGACUUGAACCUGAACUGAUCAACCGUGUAAUUCAGGGCCUUCAUUACAUGUCGUCCAGGACAUGAAUCCGUAACAGCACACUCUCACCGUAAAGCAAGAACCGUGGCCCAGAGAUUACUUGCAUGUCUCAGUUACUAGACCUGAGGUAAUUACACUGCAAUAACACGUCACUGGUGAGUCUUCUGUCUGUGCACAUGUGACUCAGCUGAAGCAGGCCUAGUAACUGACUGUCGGUCCAUGCAUGUCAGUCCAUAUGGUGGCUGGUGGCCACCAUGGCCACCAUUCGUAGCACCCAUCGAAUCACUGAAUAGGUGGCGGCAUGCAAAGAAAUGUGGGCUGCGAGCCAAUUGCUGUCACGUGUGCACA